GUUGGACUCUUCACUUAUGGAACUAGAAGAACACAGCAAGCUCCUAUUUCCCAGAGAAGGAAGUGAAGCUUUAUGGAAGAAUCCAGUCAGACUCUUGGAAGCAACCUUGUCAAAGCUUUGGCUGGUCUUUGGGCCUGGGGAUUGAGCCUAAGGAGCAGUGAGACACAUCUUUUUGAGGCAUCCAGGCUGCCUUCCCACUUGCAGUCUUCCUGCUAAGUCCCACAAGUAGCUGGGAUUAUAUCUGUGUGCUACUGCAUCCAGGCAUGUGAGCUCAUUUAACACUUACAAAACCUCCAAGAGAAGAUGUUAUUCCCAUUUUAUAAAUAGAAAAGCU
Heterocephalus glaber (naked mole-rat) is the source of this 334-nucleotide long non-coding RNA. The record is from Ensembl. NCBI's taxonomy places the organism in Eukaryota, Metazoa, Chordata, Mammalia, Rodentia, Bathyergidae.